Molecule: ribosomal RNA, 408 nt
Filed under: uncultured bacterium
Lineage: Bacteria
Description: partial 16S ribosomal RNA
Rfam family: Bacterial small subunit ribosomal RNA
Source: RNAcentral
GACGAACGCUGGCGGCGUGCUUAACACAUGCAAGUCGAGCGAAGUGGCGAACGGGUGAGUAACGAGUAAUCAACCUGCCCUUCAGAGGGGGACAACAGGUGGAAACGACUGAUAAUACCGCAUAAUGAAGGAGGGGACUGCGGCUGAUAAGCUAGUUGGAGGGGUAACGGCCCACCAAGGCGAUGAUCAGUAGCCGGGUUGAGAGAAUGAACGGCCACAUUGGGACUGAGACACGGCCCAGACUCGUACGGGAGGCAGGAGUGGGGAAUCUUCCGCAAUGGACGAAAGUCUGACGGAUCAACGCCGCGUGAGUGAUGACGGCCUUCGGGUUGUAAAGCUCUGUUAUUCGGGACGCGGUACCGGAAUAGAAAGCCACGGCUAACUACGUGCCAGCAGCCGCGGUAAUAC